UAGUCUCGCACAGAUGCAUAUCAAUAAGCGGAGGAAAAGAAACUAACAAGGAUUCCCCUAGUAACGGCGAGUGAAGCGGGAAGAGCUCAAAUUUGAAAUCUUAAAGGGUUUCCCUUUACGAAUUGUAGUUUAAAGAAGUGUUUUCUGUUGAGGUUUUGGUAAAAGUUCUUUGGAAUAGGACAUCAUAGAGGGUGAGAAUCCCGUAUUUGACCUUUACUUUCAACUUUGUGAUACACUUUCAAAGAGUCGGAUUGUUUGGGAAUGCAGCCCAAAAUGGGUGGUAAAUUUCAUCUAAAGCUAAAUAUUGGCGAGAGACCGAUAGCGAACAAGUACCGUGAGGGAAAGAUGAAAAGAACUUUGAAAAGAGAGUUAAACAGUACGUGAAAUUGUCAAAAGGGAAGCGUUUGACACCAGUGUUGUUUUUCUGAAAGUCAAUUAAAGAACUGUUUAUGCUAAGUUGUUUAGACUUUAUCAGCUAACUGUUUAGUUUUGAGCUUUUCUUUAAUGCACUUUUCAGUUAACAAGUCAACAUCAAUUUCUUUUGCUGUAAAAAAGCUUGAGGAAGGUGGCUUGAGAUUCGUCUUAAGUGUUUAUAGCCUCUUGCCUAUGCAGUCGGAGAGAUUGAGGUCUGCAGCGUAGAUCCUUCGGGGCUAAAUGCAUUUGUGCUAAGUUAUAGCAUUUUAUAGACAACUUGUUGACUAUGAUUUGUCUUGUAGCUUACUCGCUUAUGUUAUUUUACCUACGCUUAGGAUGUUGACGCAUGAGAUAUACGC
RNAcentral lists this ribosomal RNA (773 nucleotides) under uncultured Neocallimastigales. RNAcentral's name for it is "partial large subunit ribosomal RNA". It matches the Rfam family "Eukaryotic large subunit ribosomal RNA", at positions 24 to 646 of the family's 3401-position model. The record is from RNAcentral. Lineage: Eukaryota; Fungi; Neocallimastigomycota; Neocallimastigomycetes; Neocallimastigales.